This is a long non-coding RNA of Octopus sinensis (East Asian common octopus), 196 nucleotides long. RefSeq lists it as uncharacterized. The transcript is spliced from 2 exons. NCBI's taxonomy places the organism in Eukaryota, Metazoa, Mollusca, Cephalopoda, Octopoda, Octopodidae. The record is from RefSeq and is a predicted model, not a curated record.
UACAAAUUUGUAGGAUCAAGCCUUUCUUCUUUCAAAUUAUGUGAAUUAAGAAAAUGGAUUUUGUAUUUUUUUGUAAAUGAAAAAUUCCUUUCAUUUAAUGAAUAAUCUAAAUUGUAAUAAUUAUUUUGUAAAAUGUGUUCCAGUUUGUGUGUUUUGCCUAUGGUGUAUUUAUUUAUAGAGGCAUAUUAAAAAAAAA